UACGUAGGGGGCAAGCGUUGUCCGGAUUUAUUGGGCGUAAAGAGCGUGUAGGCGGCCAAGCAGGUCCGCUGUGAAAACUCGAGGCUCAACCUCGAGACGUCGGUGGAAACCGUUUGGCUAGAGUCCGGAAGAGGAGAGUGGAAUUCCCGGUGUAGCGGUGAAAUGCGCAGAUAUCGGGAAGAACACCCGUGGCGAAGGCGGCUCUCUGGGACGGUACUGACGCUGAGGAGCGAAAGUGUGGGGAGCGAACAGG
RNAcentral lists this ribosomal RNA (253 nucleotides) under uncultured bacterium. Its description in RNAcentral is "partial 16S ribosomal RNA". It matches the Rfam family "Bacterial small subunit ribosomal RNA", at positions 524 to 776 of the family's 1533-position model. The record is from RNAcentral.